UUGCUCUUGCCACGUGCUGGUGUUGGAGGACCCUCCCUGCUUCAGAUUUACCAAUAGCAUGAAUCAAGAAAAGUUAGCCAAACUUCAGGCUCAGGUCAGGAUAGGGGGCAAGGGUACAGCUCGCAGAAAGAAGAAGGUGGUACAUAGAACAGCUACAGCUGAUGAAAAGAAGCUUCAGAGUUCUCUUAAAAAACUGGCUGUGAAUAAUAUAGCUGGUAUUGAAGAGGUGAACAUGAUUAAAGAUGAUGGGACAGUUACUCAUUUCAACAAUCCCAAAGUCCAGGCUUCCCUGUCUGCUAACACCUUUGCAAUUACCGGUCAUGCAGAAGCUAAACCAAUCACAGAAAUGCUUCCCGGAAUAUUAAGUCAGCUGGGUGCUGACAGCUUAACAAGCCUUAGAAAGUUAGCUGAACAGUUCCCACGGCAAGUCUUGGAUAGCAAAGCAUCAAAACCAGAGGACAUUGAUGAGGAGGAUGAUGACAUUCCAGAUCUUGUAGAAAAUUUUGAUGAGGCAUCAAAGAAUGAAGCUAACUAAAAUUUUUUUCUGGUUUUUUGGAAGCUGGCAUGGACUAGAUUUAACAAAUCAGCUAUGUGGUUCCAAAGUUUCACAGACACAGAGAACAUCACCUGUUACUAGUUCAGUAAUAUAAAUAUUUUGUA
Propithecus coquereli (Coquerel's sifaka) is the source of this 660-nucleotide RNA transcript. It is a transcript of the gene named transcription factor BTF3 homolog 4 pseudogene, with no coding region annotated. NCBI's taxonomy places the organism in Eukaryota, Metazoa, Chordata, Mammalia, Primates, Indriidae. The transcript has a single exon. The record is from RefSeq and is a predicted model, not a curated record.